GAUGAACGCUGGCGGCGUGCCUAAUACAUGCAAGUCGAGCGAACAGAUGAGGAGCUUGCUCCUCUGACGUUAGCGGCGGACGGGUGAGUAACACGUGGAUAACCUACCUAUAAGACUGGGAUAACUUCGGGAAACCGGAGCUAAUACCGGAUAAUAUAUUGAACCGCAUGGUUCGAUAGUGAAAGACGGUUUUGCUGUCACUUAUAGAUGGAUCCGCGCCGCAUUAGCUAGUUGGUAAGGUAACGGCUUACCAAGGCAACGAUGCGUAGCCGACCUGAGAGGGUGAUCGGCCACACUGGAACUGAGACACGGUCCAGACUCCUACGGGAGGCAGCAGUAGGGAAUCUUCCGCAAAGGGCGAAAGCCUGACGGAGCAACGCCGCGUGAGUGAUGAAGGUCUUCGGAUCGUAAAACUCUGUUAUUAGGGAAGAACAAAUGUGUAAGUAACUAUGCACGUCUUGACGGUACCUAAUCAGAAAGCCACGGCUAACUACGUG
This 497-nucleotide ribosomal RNA is filed under the name uncultured bacterium. Its description in RNAcentral is "partial 16S ribosomal RNA". It matches the Rfam family "Bacterial small subunit ribosomal RNA", at positions 28 to 507 of the family's 1533-position model. The record is from RNAcentral.